GACGGAGGGGGCUAGCGUUGUUCGGAAUUACUGGGCGUAAAGAGCGCGUAGGCGGAUUAGUAAGUUGGAAGUGAAAGCCCGGGGCUUAACCUCGGAAUAGCUUUCAAAACUACUAGUCUUGAGUGUAGUAGGGGAUGAUGGAAUUCCUAGUGUAGAGGUGAAAUUCUUAGAUAUUAGGAGGAACACCGGUGGCGAAGGCGGUCAUCUGGGCUACAACUGACGCUGAGGCGCGAAAGCGUGGGGAGCAAACAGG
RNAcentral lists this ribosomal RNA (253 nucleotides) under uncultured bacterium. RNAcentral's name for it is "partial 16S ribosomal RNA". It matches the Rfam family "Bacterial small subunit ribosomal RNA", at positions 524 to 776 of the family's 1533-position model. The record is from RNAcentral. RNAcentral also lists the same sequence under 1 other name.